This 2520-nucleotide small RNA is filed under the name Pan troglodytes (chimpanzee). RNAcentral's name for it is "processed transcript". The record is from RNAcentral. Lineage: Eukaryota; Metazoa; Chordata; Mammalia; Primates; Hominidae.
AUAAAUAUUUCCUUCAUUCCACAUGAAUCUCAGGUGUAUACUCUUGAUGUACCAGAUGCAUUCUAUUACUGUUAUAGUCCAGACCCUGGUAAUGCAAAGGGAAAAGAUGCCAUUAUGGAAACAAUGGCUGACCAGAUAGUUACAGUGUGUGCCACCUUGGAUGAAAAUCCCGGAGUAAGAUAUAAAAGUAAACCUCUAGAUAAUGCCAGUAAGCUUGCACAGCUUGUUGAAAAAAAGCUUGAAGACUACUACAAGAUUGAUGAAAAGAGCCUAAUAAAGGGUAAAACUCAUUCACAGCUCUUAAUAAUUGAUCGUGGCUUUGAUCCUGUGUCCACUGUCCUGCAUGAACUGACCUUUCAGGCAAUGGCAUAUGAUCUACUACCAAUUGAGAAUGAUACAUACAAGCAAGUAUAACUUGAAGGGCAUAUAAAGGGCAUAUACAAACAGGAUAGAAUAUGAGCAUUUAAUGAUUUAUAUAGGCACCAGAGAUCUGAAAGCCCCUAUAACCUUUUCUAUUCAGAGACUUUAUCCUUCUCUUAUUCCUACAGUUAUAGUCUUUGACAGAUAUGUUGACCUUGUAAAUUAAAGUGUAAUUUGAUUGCUUUGGAGCAUUUUUGGUGUGUUUGCUUCCUUAACUGUGUGUACAGUAGAGCUACAUUUAAACACAUGGAAUUUGGCCCUUUUGCUUUUAAAAGUAAAUACCAGGCUCACUAUCAUAUUUAUUGAAGGAGAAACCAUAUUCGAAAUUGUUAGGCUAUAAUUGUUCUGAAUCAUACAUUCAAAAGUGUAUGUGUCUUAUCAACAUAAUGUAUUUUAAAAGAUUGGAACACUAGAAGACUAAAUAGGAUGGCUAUUGAGGACAAUAGGCAUAGUUUUACCAUUUUGGUACCUUCUACUGAGUUAAUCUUGGUAUAAACAUAUUUACUUUAAAAGUAAUGUCAAAUAAAAACCUAAAUGAAAAAUGAAAUAGUUUUCUAUCAAGGAAUGCAUCUUACUGUAUCUCUGUAUCAUUUAUGGUGUAUGUGUUACAUACAUUACAAAUGUUAUUUGAUGUCGUGAUUUCUGAAUCCAAACUGGUAUUUGUCAGCUAAGAUUUACUGCUUGAGUACAGUAAUAAAAAUGAAAAUAGUUUUCUGAAAUUUUAUGUUUAAACUAAUUUGUUAGUUUUAAGAUACAGACACUUGUGAUAGUUAUGAUACUGUUUUUUUCUUAAAUAUUGUUAAAAUUUGUAUUUUUAUUUGCAUUCUGGUCAAAUCUUGGUUUCUGAGUUUUUCUCUGUAUUAUCCGUAUUAAUGUUAGAUAACAUAGCUAUUUUUCUAAUAUAAAAGUUUUUUUAAGCAGUUUAUUCAGAGGGGAUAUUAUUUACCUCUGUUACCCUGUAGGUCUCUAAACUUUUAAGUAGACUUAUUUUUUAAAAAGCUACUAUACUCCCUUCUUUCUGAAUCAAAAACAUUCAGAGAUAAGAAUUAGAUGGAAGUAAAGCUCCCUGUGGUUUGCGCUCCAUCACAAUUUUUUUUUUUUUUUUUUAGUAGAGGCGGGGUUUCCCCAUGUUGGCCAGGCUAGUCUUGAACUCCUGACCUCAGGUGAUCCCCCUGCCUCGGCCUCCCAAAGCGCUGGGAUUGCAGGGGUGAGCCACCACGCCCAGCCUUCAUCACAAUUUUUUAUGGAAACAGAAUACAAAGCAGCAGGAAGCUCUAAGUGUCCAGAUUCAAGUUUUCAUGUUGGUGCCUUCUUUAAAUUUACUUUUUUUUUUUUUUCUUUUUUUGAGACAGAGUCUUACUCUGUCACCCAGGCUGGAGUGCAGUGGCGCGAUCUCAGCUCAUUGCAGCCUUCGUCCCCUGAGUUCAAAUGAUUCCCGGCCUCAGCCUCCCAAGUAACUGGCACUACAAGUGUGCACCACUGCGCCUGGCUCAUUUUUGUGUUUUUAGUAGAAAUGGGGUUUUGCUGUGUUGGCCAGGCUGGUCUCGAACUCCUGGCCUCACAUGAUCCACCCACCUCGGCCUCCCAACUAAAUUUACUUUUAAAAUGGGAUAUUCAUCACCUGAGUAUUGUCAGGCUUGUUACUCUUAUCUCUGUUCACAAAUCACUUAUAAGUCAAAGGUAUUGUAUAAGAACAAAGUGUAUUUUAAAUGACAAAAGGGCUUUCAUCCUUAGUGCAGCCUUAUAUAAUUGAGCACAGUGAUUCUGUCUUUGGACAUCUGUAAUCCACCCAGGUGGAUGGUUUUAUAGAUUGAUGUGUAAUUUGUGGGGGUUAUAGAAAUGAUUAUAUUCAUAUAGCGAAGUCUAUAUGUAUUAUUUGUAGUUCAGAGCUAGGAAAACUCAAUGCCGUCCUUCCUGAUCUUGACUCAGGAAAUCAGUAGUUCCAAGGAUGAUUCAGUCUUGUCUAGUUCCAUAAAUGGAAGGAGGGUGUCUGCAUAAAAAGAUAAGGGGAAUCAGUCAGGAAGCCCAUUUUGAAUAGCUUCAUGAAUCCCUUAAAUUGUUGCUAACUUCAGCAGAACUCAUUAAAGCUAUCACAAUUUU